AGUUAAAAAGCUCGUAGUUGGAUUUCUGCGGGGGCGGGGCGGCCGGUUGCUUAUAGCAACUCGAGCUAGCACUUCCCCUGCAUCCUGCCGCGAACCGUGCUACCAUUAGUUUGGUGGCGCCGGGGAUCGGCUCGUUUACUUUGAGAAAAAUAGAGUGUUCAAAGCAGGCCACACGCCUUGAAUAAGUUAGCAUGGAAUAAUGAUAAAGGACUUCGGUUCUAUUUUGUUGGUGUUCGGGACUGAAGUAAUGAUUGAUAGGGACAGUUGGGGCGGUCCGUAUUCCAAAGCGAGAGGUGAAAUUCUUAGACCUUCGGAAGACGAACAGCUGCGAAAGCGUUCCGCAAGGAUGUUCCCUUUGAUCAAGAACGAAAGUUGGGGGAUCGAAGACGAUCAGAUACCGUCGUAGUCUCAACUAUAAACUAUACCAGCUAGGGAUCGGCCAACGUUUAAUUACACCGACUUGGUCGGCACCUUAUGAGAAAUCAAAGCAUCUGGGUUCCGGGGGGAGUAUGGUCGCAAGGCUGAAACUUAAAGGAAUUGACGGAAGGGCACCACCAGCCGUGGAGC
RNAcentral lists this ribosomal RNA (567 nucleotides) under uncultured marine eukaryote. RNAcentral describes it as "bacterial SSU rRNA". It matches the Rfam family "Eukaryotic small subunit ribosomal RNA", at positions 617 to 1182 of the family's 1831-position model. The record is from RNAcentral.